This 855-nucleotide ribosomal RNA is filed under the name Acrophialophora fusispora. Its description in RNAcentral is "eukaryotic LSU rRNA". It matches the Rfam family "Eukaryotic large subunit ribosomal RNA", at positions 50 to 939 of the family's 3401-position model. Lineage: Eukaryota; Fungi; Ascomycota; Sordariomycetes; Sordariales; Chaetomiaceae. The record is from RNAcentral.
GCGGAGGAAAAGAAACCAACAGGGAUUGCCCUAGUAACGGCGAGUGAAGCGGCAACAGCUCAAAUUUGAAAUCUGGCUUCGGCCCGAGUUGUAAUUUGCAGAGGAAGCUUUAGGCGCGGCACCUCCUGAGUCCCCUGGAACGGGGCGCCACAGAGGGUGAGAGCCCCGUAUAGUUGGAUGCCUAGCCUGUGUAAAGCUCCUUCGACGAGUCGAGUAGUUUGGGAAUGCUGCUCAAAAUGGGAGGUAAAUUUCUUCUAAAGCUAAAUACCGGCCAGAGACCGAUAGCGCACAAGUAGAGUGAUCGAAAGAUGAAAAGCACUUUGAAAAGAGGGUUAAAUAGCACGUGAAAUUGUUGAAAGGGAAGCGCUUGUGACCAGACUUGCGCCGGGCUGAUCAUCCGGUGUUCUCACCGGUGCACUCUGCCCGGCUCAGGCCAGCAUCGGUUCUCGCGGGGGGAUAAAGGCCCUGGGAACGUAGCUCCUCCGGGAGUGUUAUAGCCCGGGGCGUAAUGCCCUCGCGGGGACCGAGGUUCGCGCUCUGCAAGGAUGCUGGCGUAAUGGUCAUCAGCGACCCGUCUUGAAACACGGACCAAGGAGUCAAGGUUUUGCGCGAGUGUUUGGGUGUAAAACCCGCACGCGUAAUGAAAGUGAACGUAGGUGAGAGCUUCGGCGCAUCAUCGACCGAUCCUGAUGUUCUCGGAUGGAUUUGAGUAGGAGCGUUAAGCCUUGGACCCGAAAGAUGGUGAACUAUGCUUGGAUAGGGUGAAGCCAGAGGAAACUCUGGUGGAGGCUCGCAGCGGUUCUGACGUGCAAAUCGAUCGUCAAAUCUGAGCAUGGGGGCGAAAGACUAAUCGAA